This 122-nucleotide ribosomal RNA is filed under the name Canis lupus dingo (dingo). Lineage: Eukaryota; Metazoa; Chordata; Mammalia; Carnivora; Canidae. The record is from RNAcentral.
GUCUAUGGUCAUAUUGCCCUGAAAGUGUCCCAUUUCGUCUAACCAUGGCCCAUCCUGCUUUAGUACCACCUUGGUUAGUAUCUGGAUGGGAGAUCACCUGGUAAAACUGGGUGCGGUAGGCU